Molecule: ribosomal RNA, 468 nt
Filed under: uncultured bacterium
Lineage: Bacteria
Description: partial 16S ribosomal RNA
Rfam family: Bacterial small subunit ribosomal RNA
Source: RNAcentral
GAUGAACGCUGGCGGCGUGCCUAACAUAUGCAAGUCGAGCGAUUCUCUUCGGAGAAGAGCGGCGGACGGGUGAGUAACGCGUGGGUAACCUGCCCUGUACACACGGAUAACAUACCGAAAGGUAUGCUAAUACGAGAUAAUAUACUUUUAUCGCAUGGUAGAAGUAUCAAAGCUCCGGCGGUACAGGAUGGACCCGCGUCUGAUUAGCUAGUUGGUAAGGUAACGGCUUACCAAGGCGACGAUCAGUAGCCGACCUGAGAGGGUGAUCGGCCACCUUGGAGCUGAGACACGUUCCAAACUCCUACGGGAGGCAGCAGUGGGGAAUAUUGCACAAUGGGCGAAAGCCUGAUGCAGCAACGCCGCGUGAGUGAUGAAGGCCUUCGGGUCGUAAAGCUCUGUCCUCAAGGAAGAUAAUGACGGUACUUGAGGAGGAAGCCCCGGCUAACUACGUGCCAGCCGCCGCCGUAA